RNAcentral lists this ribosomal RNA (676 nucleotides) under uncultured archaeon. Its description in RNAcentral is "bacterial SSU rRNA". It matches the Rfam family "Archaeal small subunit ribosomal RNA", at positions 322 to 999 of the family's 1478-position model. The record is from RNAcentral.
CCUAUGGGGUGCAGCAGGCGAGAAAACUUUGCAAUGUGCGAAAGCACGACAAGGUUAAUCCGAGUGGUUUCUGCUAAAGGAACCUUUUGUCAGUCCUAGAAACACUGAUGAAUAAGGGGUGGGCAAGUUCUGGUGUCAGCCGCCGCGGUAAAACCAGCACCUCAAGUGGUCAGGAUGAUUAUUGGGCCUAAAGCAUCCGUAGCCGGCUUUGUAAGUUUUCGGUUAAAUCCAUGCGCUCAACGUAUGGGCUGCCGGGAAUACUGCAAAGCUAGGGAGUGGGAGAGGUAGACGGUACUCGGUAGGAAGGGGUAAAAUCCUUUGAUCUAUUGAUGACCACCUGUGGCGAAGGCGGUCUACCAGAACACGUCCGACGGUGAGGGAUGAAAGCUGGGGGAGCAAACCGGAUUAGAUACCCGGGUAGUCCCAGCUGUAAACUAUGCAAACUCAGUGAUGCAUUGGCUUGAUGCCAAUGCAGUGCUGCAGGGAAGCCGUUAAGUUUGCCGCCUGGGAAGUACGUACGCAAGUAUGAAACUUAAAGGAAUUGGCGGGGGAGCACCACAAGGGGUGAAGCCUGCGGUUCAAUUGGAGUCAACGCCAGAAAUCUUACCCGGAGAGACAGCAGAAUGAAGGUCAAGCUGAAGACUUUACCAGACAAGCUGAGAAGUAGUGCAUGGCC